GCCGAGGUGGCGGAAUUGGUAGACGCGCCAGGUUUAGGUCCUGGUGGGGCAACCCGUGGAGGUUCGAGUCCUCUCCUCGGCACCA
This 85-nucleotide transfer RNA is filed under the name Wenzhouxiangella sediminis. Its description in RNAcentral is "tRNA-Leu". It matches the Rfam family "tRNA". From Rfam's summary of the family: Transfer RNA (tRNA) molecules are approximately 80 nucleotides in length. Their secondary structure includes four short double-helical elements and three loops (D, anti-codon, and T loops). The record is from RNAcentral. Lineage: Bacteria; Pseudomonadati; Pseudomonadota; Gammaproteobacteria; Chromatiales; Wenzhouxiangellaceae. RNAcentral also lists the same sequence under 6 other names.